CCUGAGAAACCCAAAAGAUCGAAUGGGGAGAUUCAUCGUCAGCGUUACUGGUACGUGUGCGGUUCGCGAUGCCCGGGACUUCGGUUCCGUGGUACGCGUCCGCAGUUUUUAUUGCCUGGUAACGUCGGCGUGCACUUCUCCCCUAGUAGGACGUCGCGACCCGUUGGGUGUCGGUCUACGGCCCGGGUGGUUGCCUGUCUCGUGUGGCGCUUCACAGCGUAACUGCGGGGCAGACCCCCGGUUGCCUGACCAGCUGCCCGGCGGUAUUCGCAAGGUAUCCGGCCGCAAAAAUUCGAACUGCGUCCGGCCCGUCGCAAGCGAGGCAAGUGUUUCCCGAAUGUACGGAUCUAAUGCCGUCGUCGGGCCUGGCCAGCUGUUGGUUGACGGUGUCCUAGGACUGGCUGUAACUCAAUUAUGAUACCGGUCAGCGACGCUA
This 436-nucleotide ribosomal RNA is filed under the name Diplazon laetatorius. RNAcentral's name for it is "eukaryotic LSU rRNA". The record is from RNAcentral. Lineage: Eukaryota; Metazoa; Arthropoda; Insecta; Hymenoptera; Ichneumonidae.